Molecule: long non-coding RNA, 282 nt
Organism: Hydra vulgaris (swiftwater hydra)
Lineage: Eukaryota; Metazoa; Cnidaria; Hydrozoa; Anthoathecata; Hydridae
Source: RefSeq, a predicted model, not a curated record
UACAGUCAUUUUGAUGGUUGUAAAUUUAUUUAGCACACUCAUUUUUAUAUAUUUUUAUACUGUUUACCGUUUUUAACUCCUGUCCCAAUCUAACCUAGUGGGUUCAAAAAGAAGGGACCACGCUGGAAACAUGAGUGGAUUAAAAGGAUCAGCCCUAUUUGAAUUAAUAGUCAAAGUGGUAACCAGCUAGAAGUCGUAACCUGCUCGUAUGAAAGGAUUUCUCGACGUGUAAUUGUUAAUUUUAUUCAACAACGCCAAGAAACAGAGCUCGCUCAAGAAACA